GGGAGCGUGAAAGGGCCAUUAGCCCCGUUUUACAGGAGGGGAGCUGGUGCCUAAAGAGAGGAAGACACGGUCACUCAGGGGACUCUGGCACAGCCAGGAGUCAAACCCGGAUCUCCAGCCUGCCACAGCCCGGGGAAAGGCGAAGCCGCCCAGGGACGCCGGCUCGGCGUAGAAGAAGCGCAGGUAGCCCUCGGGGACCUUGUGAUCAUGCUUCCGUGAGUUCUCCAUGAAGUUGCCGGCCCCGCUCAGCACGUAGCCCACGCCAGCCUUGUCCUGCAGUAGAAGUUGUCGCCGAGGGACAAGAUGAAGUCCGCGCCCAACGCUGCCACCGUACGGCCCAUCUCCUUGGCUGUGGCCACCUCACGCACCGUGUGAAAGGGGGGAUUGGACACCCCGCCCCAGUCCCCCAGGGCGAUGAAGCGCAGGGAGGAGCCGGCGGAGAGCAGGCUGGCGUAGGGGGUCGGCAGAGCCACCAGGAGGAGCGCGGAGAGACACAGCCGUGAGGCCGUCGCUACGCCGGUCGAAGCUCCGGAGCACAGACCUGGCCCAAGGCUCGGAAUGGGCUGCUGGGUGGGCGAGCCCCCCGCUUCCGUGCAGAGCCCGCCGGCGUUCGGAAGAGGAGGCGGAAAAAUCGGAGCAGUGCGGGAAAGCGGAACAAGAGCCGACGGCGGGACGCCCGGGGAAACGAGGCAGCAGCCUGUGAGGGUGCGGGAGCUUUGUGCCCGGGCAGCGGUGGGUCCCCCGGGAAGCGUCGUGAGUCACACGCAGGGCUCAGGGCGGGGGGAGCAGUAACCGGGAGACGAGACGGGCUCGUGGCCCUGGC
Caretta caretta (loggerhead turtle) is the source of this 823-nucleotide long non-coding RNA. RefSeq lists it as uncharacterized. NCBI's taxonomy places the organism in Eukaryota, Metazoa, Chordata, Testudines, Cheloniidae. The record is from RefSeq and is a predicted model, not a curated record.